This is a long non-coding RNA of Tachyglossus aculeatus (Australian echidna), 619 nucleotides long. RefSeq lists it as uncharacterized. The transcript is spliced from 4 exons. NCBI's taxonomy places the organism in Eukaryota, Metazoa, Chordata, Mammalia, Monotremata, Tachyglossidae. The record is from RefSeq and is a predicted model, not a curated record.
UUGAGUCUUGUUAAGUCAUUAUAGAGAUGGAAUUUAGGACUUGCUCUAAUUGAAAUGGGAUUGUAUCGCUCCAGGAAAAGACUCUGUAGUUCGAGUACCUCUACCUAGGUUCAUUCUCCUGCUCAGUUCCUUCUGGCUAAUUUACCCCUACCUUACCACCACCACUGUUUCAUGAGGAACAAGAUUUGCCUUUUGGCCCUCAAUCUUUAAAUGCAAUGCAGGGCACGGUCUUUCCGUGAAGCAAAAUCCAAACCAACUCGAAACUGAAAAAUAAAUCCAAGUCUGUGCAGACUGCAGACAGCAGAAAUGGGCCACGGUUCCUGCAGUGACUUGACCCACAGAACUCUGUUAAGCACGCUCACUGCAUCUCACUGCAACUGGCCAAGAGCUCCCGCCUCCAUGGUGUGAAAUGAGAUCCCCUAUGAAGCAGCUCGGCACAAUCGUCUGUGGCCAGAUGAAUUCCUCGGCUGCAUUUUAAGUCUGCAGACCUGGUAGAUAAGUGCAGUGGACAAAGAUUUGGAUCUCCGUGUCACCAAGCUAAGUGAGGCCCUGAACUUUGAUCUCAUAUUGCCACAUUAAUCUGCUUCACUGACCAAAUCCCUAACAGCAGACUGUUAAU